ACAAUUGCAAGUCGAGCGGAACGAGUUAUCUGAACCUUCGGGGAACGAUAACGGCGUCGAGCGGCGGACGGGUGAGUAAUGCCUAGGAAAUUGCCCUGAUGUGGGGGAUAACCAUUGGAAACGAUGGCUAAUACCGCAUAAUGCCUACGGGCCAAAGAGGGGGACCUUCGGGCCUCUCGCGUCAGGAUAUGCCUAGGUGGGAUUAGCUAGUUGGUGAGGUAAUGGCUCACCAAGGCGACGAUCCCUAGCUGGUCUGAGAGGAUGAUCAGCCACACUGGAACUGAGACACGGUCCAGACUCCUACGGGAGGCAGCAGUGGGGAAUAUUGCACAAUGGGCGCAAGCCUGAUGCAGCCAUGCCGCGUGUGUGAAGAAGGCCUUCGGGUUGUAAAGCACUUUCAGUCGUGAGGAAGGUAGUGUAGUUAAUAGCUGCAUUAUUUGACGUUAGCGACAGAAGAAGCACCGGCUAACUCCGUGCCAGCAGCCGCGGUAAUACGGAGGGUGCGAGCGUUAAUCGGAAUUACUGGGCGUAAAGCGCAUGCAGGUGGUUUGUUAAGUCAGAUGUGAAAGCCCGGGGCUCAACCUCGGAAUUGCAUUUGAAACUGGCAGACUAGAGUACUGUAGAGGGGGGUAGAAUUUCAGGUGUAGCGGUGAAAUGCGUAGAGAUCUGAAGGAAUACCGGUGGCGAAGGCGGCCCCCUGGACAGAUACUGACACUCAGAUGCGAAAGCGUGGGGAGCAAACAGGAUUAGAUACCCUGGUAGUCCACGCCGUAAACGAUGUCUACUUGGAGGUUGUGGCCUUGAGCCGUGGCUUUCGGAGCUAACGCGUUAAGUAGACCGCCUGGGGAGUACGGUCGCAAGAUUAAAACUCAAAUGAAUUGACGGGGGCCCGCACAAGCGGUGGAGCAUGUGGUUUAAUUCGAUGCAACGCGAAGAACCUUACCUACUCUUGACAUCCAGAGAACUUUCCAGAGAUGGAUUGGUGCCUUCGGGAACUCUGA
RNAcentral lists this ribosomal RNA (1001 nucleotides) under Vibrio rotiferianus. RNAcentral describes it as "bacterial SSU rRNA". It matches the Rfam family "Bacterial small subunit ribosomal RNA", at positions 51 to 1032 of the family's 1533-position model. Lineage: Bacteria; Pseudomonadati; Pseudomonadota; Gammaproteobacteria; Vibrionales; Vibrionaceae. The record is from RNAcentral.